GCGACGUCAGAAUAAUUUAACUCAAGUUUACAAGAGACUCGUUUGCGAUUGGAAGGCUAUCGGCAACGUCAUCACGAUCUACUUAAUAUUCAAGAGGUGAACCGUUGGACUAGCGAUUCGCGCGCUGCCGAGCUGAGCUUGUGUGCCAGCGUAGUGAAGAAGUGUGGGCUUGUUUUGGUCCGAGUGGGCAGUGGUUGUUCGGAUGCCAUGCUACCCGUUGCUCUGCUCGGAAGAAACGCCCACACACACACACACACGCUAGCACAGACACACAAAAACACAGUGCCAUGUACAUCGGAGGGCUUGGUGGUAUGUGGCAAGUACCCAGAGCUGCAGCCCACUGCAGUGUGCCAAGAAGAAUCCCUCUGUUCAUGAGGUGGACCGUCACAACAGACUAAACAAGGAAAAUGGUCUUUCUCUUGUGUAACCUGAAAAGAAAUGACGAUUUAAAGGCAUAAACCAUGAAAUAACAAGACUCUUCUGUGAUACAAGUGGUUUGCAAGUUCUGACCCAAUGACAACUUUGAAACUGGUUGGAACAUACAAUCAGCUUCAUUGUACGUCACUGAUUUCUAUAGAAUUACACAAAUCUGCAAGGCCCCACCAUGUAGUCAAGCUGGAGAGUUGUUGCCAAACAUAACAAACUGAUUCCCAGAAAUCAGUGUCUACAGAACCACAACAGUCUAAACUGCACUUGAAUGUUUUUGGAUAUAAAGGUUGGUCAUAUAUGUAAUGCUUUAAAACUUUAGUAAUUUUAUAAUCUUAAACUACUUUAUCCUAAACUGUGGUGGAGAGGAUUGUGCAUAUACUCAUGACUUACAGUAUAAGUGCUCUUUGCUCACAUUCUCGCCCACUAUUCUAUAAAAUAAAAACAAAAAAAAAAAUUCAGUAUGAGUCUUAAUGCAAGUCUAGUAUAUUGUUUUGUCCUUGAUCCCUUUUUAAACUCUUUGCACUUCACUUAACUUUCACUGGGUUUUUUAGGCAAUAUUAGUCUCAUAUUCCAAACAUUACAGAAUUACUGCACUAAAGAUUGUAAACUGACCACCACUUUCAUUCUUAAAAUAGAAAAAAAGUGAAAGUGACAUGACAUACAGCAAAGUAUGGUGCAGUGGGCAGCCAUUAAUGCUGCGGUGCCCAGGGAGCAGUUGGGGGUUCGGUGCCUUGCUCAAGGGCACCUCAGUCGUGGUAUUGCCGGCCCGAGACUCGAACCCACAACCUUGGGGUUAGGAGUCAAACUCUCUAACCACUAGGCCACAACUUCCCACGACAAUAAAGGUUCUUUCCAUUGGACAAAAGGUUCUUUAUAGUGGAAAAACAUUUAUUCAGAUAAUUCAAAUAAGAUUCUUUGGGGAACAAAAGUGGUUCUUCUAUGGGAUUGCUGCGAAAACCCCUAUUUGGGACCCAGGUUUGUUUCAUCAAACUUGUGGUGAACUCUGGUCUGUUACUAUCUUCUGUCUACUAUUUGUUUAUCUUUUAAUUAUAUAUUGUGAUUUAUGCAUAUGCAGUGAUCCAUAAGCCUGACUCAGAACGAUCACAUCUGUGACAACAUGGAUCCUCUCAAGCAGAUGAGCAUAAAAUCCUAAAAGUCUGCCUGCACUGGAGGCUCCAGACCACAGAUGGGCCUCCACAUCUGGCAUCCACCCCUGUGCUCACAUCAAAGUUAAAUCCUGGACUGUGAGGACAGGUGGCGUAGUAAUCCCUGUUCAGAGAGGCCCGUGGAUAUCCAGAUUUCAGUGGCAUAUGCAACACCCUUCAGUGGAAUGGUGCAAUGGUGGAUUGCAUUGCUUCUUUUACGCGUGCCUCACUGCAGCUGAUCUGAGAUCAUAGUUUUGGCUGUUCUGCUGGGUGGCGUCUACCUCAAGCCCCCUCCGACUUUAGGAAUGGGCUUGACGUGACCAAUUCAUCAUCUCUCCCUCAUCGCUCCAUCAUUCGCACAGGCAAUCCAUCAAGACCAGAUGCUGAGACAAGGCAGAGGAAAAGGGAGCAGCUCUGGAUGAGACGCUAAUGCUGUCCGCAACCAUUGCUCAAGGGAGACACUUGACGUUACCACUUCAAGCGUAGUAUUGCAGUUUUAAUGCGGAUGUUGGUUAUAUCUCAAUUACAGCGCUGUUGUCUGAACCGCAUUGUGUUCACAGAAAAAGUUUUUAAUGUUAAAUGCUCUUAACAGUCUGAACUUUGAACUAGACAUUCAAUUAGACCUGCUUUAUAUAUUAAUAAAGGCACUGUUUGUUCUGAUUGUAAACAUGGACGGCAAUCUGACCACUGGGCUCUUUUUCAUCACUUGUGGCUAAGAAGUUUCUUCAUUUCCUGUGCAGCGCUUUCCAGAUUUGCGUCUGGAUCACUGAUACCAUAUCAACAAUGUACAAACACGUCCCAGUGUCUCCAAAUCCUCAGGUAGUCCAGAACUCAUGGCCACUAAUUAGGAUCUGAUGGUGUGCUUUAAAUAAGGUAUUUAAUUCUUUGUUGCCCUUGAGCUAAAAGGAUCUUUUAUCUCAAGCUGUACAAAUCACAGUAUUAAUAUAAGCUAGCAAAUAGUUCAACUUUCAAAAUUACCUUGAAGACCAUAUCUUGUGUGUAUCUUGCCAUGAUUCAUCACUGAAUAACAAAAGAAUGCAAAAAGUGUUGAGACUCAAGGGGCUAGCAAAAUGUAUUCCAGUCCUACAUUUUCUGUGGUGAAACAUGAAAAGAAAAACCUUGGACUGUAAGAUCUGUGCUAUUCAAACUAUAAUGGACUUGCUUGUUGUGAUAUUAAGUAGAGGGUUUUUUUAAACAAUCAGUUCACCAAAAAGAUUCACACGUCUACAGAUUAAUUCCAAAACUUGUCCAAAACAAGUUUUAUUGAAUUUGGAAUCUUUUUAUUCUCGUAAAUAGACAAACAAAAUGUGCCCAUUUAUUCAGUCAAUGCAACGGAUCCUCAAUGCACGAAAGCAAGCUUAAAAAAAGAUUAAUUUAGAUGAUUAAAACACCACUAGAGCUGUCAAGAAACAUAAGUGUGGCACUGAUAAAAUUGAGAGUGUCACAAUGAUGUGCCAACAAGUUUAUUUUAUAAGAAUAUUGUGACAUUUUGCAGAAGUAGACUGUUUUAUCAUUGUUUUCUUCUGAAAAGUGAUGUGAAACAAAUGUCUUACUCAUUGUUUAUGAUAUUGCAUUGCAUUUAGUACUACACAAGACAAAUGUGUGUUGUACAGCAGCCAAUUGAAAUCACAACACUUUUGAUGUAUCACAAUACAUCUGUGUCAUACACAUAAAGUUCGCUGAGCGAAUUUCUGUCAUAGUGCGUCUUCUGUUUGUUGCUCUAAAGGUCAUACACUGAUUUAAUUUCAGGCCUGAAGCACUUUUAUAUUAAAAGGCAGAGCAUAACAUGUCCUGCUCUUUGCUCUUUUAGAGUAAAUGGCUUCUUUCAGAGCCAUAGUGGGAGUUUAAUUGCAGCGUAUUGAAGAUGUUAAUAUUACAGUAAGUGCCCAGCCCACACACAUACCUCUGACUUGCUACAAUCUGUUUCGAUGCUUAACCAGUGCGUUCACAGCUAACAAAAUUAUGUUCUAGGAACAUUUUUAAUACAUUCCUGUUAUUAAAAA
Long non-coding RNA from Cyprinus carpio carpio, 3577 nucleotides. NCBI's taxonomy places the organism in Eukaryota, Metazoa, Chordata, Actinopteri, Cypriniformes, Cyprinidae. The record is from Ensembl.